GCGGGCGUGGUGUUGCGUGCCUGUAGUCCCAGUUACUCGGGAGGCUGAGGUGGGAGGAUCGCUUGAGCCCAGGAGUUCUGGGCUGUAGUGUGCUGUGCUGAUAGGGUUUCGCACUAAGUUCGGCAUCAAUAUGGUGACCUCCCAGGAGCGGGGGACCACCAGGUUGCCUAAGGAGGGGUAAACCGGCCCAGGUUGGAAACGGAGCAGGUCAAAACUAAAACUCCCAUGCUAAUCAGUAGUGGAAUCACGCCUGUGAAUAGCCACUGCACUUCAGCCUGGGCAACAUAGUGAGACCCCAUCUCU
RNAcentral lists this signal recognition particle RNA (303 nucleotides) under Saimiri boliviensis boliviensis (Bolivian squirrel monkey). RNAcentral describes it as "Metazoan signal recognition particle RNA (ENSSBOG00000004392.1)". It matches the Rfam family "Metazoan signal recognition particle RNA". Rfam says of the family: The signal recognition particle (SRP) is a universally conserved ribonucleoprotein. It is involved in the co-translational targeting of proteins to membranes. Lineage: Eukaryota; Metazoa; Chordata; Mammalia; Primates; Cebidae. The record is from RNAcentral.